GAUGGAUGCCCAGGAGGAAAGCAUCCAUGAGAGAACUGUCUCCAGAAAAAAGAAAAGCAAGAGACACAAAGAAGAACUGGACGGGGCUGGAGGAGAAGAGUAUCCCAUGGAUAUUUGGCUAUUGCUGGCCUCCUAUAUCCGUCCUGAGGACAUUGUGAAUUUUUCCCUGAUUUGUAAGAAUGCCUGGACUGUCACUUGCACUGCUGCCUUUUGGACCAGGUUGUACCGAAGGUGCGACCACAGAGAGCUCACUCUUUUAUCUGUGUGGCUGAUUUCAUUACUGUUUGUGAUUUGGAGCUACUCACUGGAUGGUGACCUCUUUUCACUUUCUCUACUCCAUGUCUGGGCAUGACCCAGCUUUGGACUCCUUGAGCCCCUCUCUAAUUUAAAUUUGAUAUUAUUAAUUAUCCAGGUAAUUGUCUUCCGUGUGGUUGCCUCCUUCCCCACUCCAGUAUCCACUUUCAGCAAAACGUCUUGCUUCAAGUCCCAGAUAGAAGAGUCUUUGACUUUUCUUCAGAGGCUUAUUUUAGCUAGAAUGUUUAAAGCUACAGAUGCCUAUCUGCUCAUCUUUCCAGCUGGAUUAGGUGUUGCUUAGAUUUGCUAGUUGUCUUUAAGUAUUACACAGUUUUUGUAUUUAUGCAGCCUUAUGUAUAGUUGUAGUGGUGAGGAGUAGGUAAAUUAUAUGAUUAGUAAAAGGGCUAGUUUUUGAUGCUAGGUAUGGAAGUGUAGUGACAAUUGUAAACUGUCAGGCUGUG
RNAcentral lists this small RNA (755 nucleotides) under Pan troglodytes (chimpanzee). RNAcentral describes it as "retained intron". The record is from RNAcentral. Lineage: Eukaryota; Metazoa; Chordata; Mammalia; Primates; Hominidae.